UCGAGGAUAUUUAGCAAUGGACGAAAGUCUGACUAUGUGACGCCGCGUGAGGGAUGAAGGUCUUCGGAUCGUAAACCUCUUUCGAUAGGGAAGAAAACCUAUUCUUAACGGAAUAGACUGACGGUACCUAGAGAAGAAGCCACGGCCAACUCUGUGCCAGCAGCCGCGGUAAUACAGAGGUGGCGAGCGUUACUCGGAUGUAUUGGGUGUAAAGGGCAAGUAGGCGUCUGUACAAGUUAGGGGUGAAAUCCUGCAGCUCAACUGCGGAACUGCUCUUAAAACUGUUGGGAUUGAGGUUGGGAGAGGAAAGCGGAAUGCGCGGUGUAAGAGUGAAAUCUGUAGAUAUCGAGAGGAACACCAGUGGCGAAGGCGGCUUUCUGGCCCAGUACUGACGCUGAAUUGCGAAAGCUAGGGGAGCAAACA
RNAcentral lists this ribosomal RNA (423 nucleotides) under uncultured prokaryote. Its description in RNAcentral is "bacterial SSU rRNA". It matches the Rfam family "Bacterial small subunit ribosomal RNA", at positions 355 to 774 of the family's 1533-position model. The record is from RNAcentral.